RNAcentral lists this long non-coding RNA (228 nucleotides) under Elaeis guineensis (African oil palm). Its description in RNAcentral is "long non-coding RNA (EGUI_LNC013271)". Lineage: Eukaryota; Viridiplantae; Streptophyta; Magnoliopsida; Arecales; Arecaceae. The record is from RNAcentral.
GAGAGAGUGAGAGGCGAGGGUGCUGAGAGAGAAGGAGCAGGAGGCUCCUGGACAGCGGUCGCCAGGCUCUUCAGGGGUUCAGGGGGGUCUCCAAGAGAGAGAGAGCUUUUGUGAGGAGAACUUCAGAUGAGAGAGAAUUGGGUGUACAAGGGUUGAGGGUGAGGUCUCCUCUUGUAAAAUUUUCUUUUCAUAGUGAAGUUUGCAUGCCCCGUGGAGGCGAGCCCUUUU